RNAcentral lists this ribosomal RNA (538 nucleotides) under Bacillus sp. C26. RNAcentral describes it as "bacterial SSU rRNA". It matches the Rfam family "Bacterial small subunit ribosomal RNA", at positions 10 to 529 of the family's 1533-position model. The record is from RNAcentral. Lineage: Bacteria; Bacillati; Bacillota; Bacilli; Caryophanales; Bacillaceae.
AGUUUGAUCCCUGGCUCAGGACGAACGCUGGCGGCGUGCCUAAUACAUGCAAGUCGAGCGGACGGAAGGGAGCUUGCUCCCGGAAGUCAGCGGCGGACGGGUGAGUAACACGUGGGCAACCUGCCCUGUAGACUGGGAUAACAUCGAGAAAUCGGUGCUAAUACCGGAUAAUCGAAGAAACCGCAUGGUUUCUUUGUAAAAGAUGGCUCCGGCUAUCACUACAGGAUGGGCCCGCGGCGCAUUAGCUAGUUGGUGAGGUAGAGGCUCACCAAGGCAACGAUGCGUAGCCGACCUGAGAGGGUGAUCGGCCACACUGGGACUGAGACACGGCCCAGACUCCUACGGGAGGCAGCAGUAGGGAAUCUUCCGCAAUGGACGAAAGUCUGACGGAGCAACGCCGCGUGAGUGAUGAAGGUUUUCGGAUCGUAAAGCUCUGUUGUUAGGGAAGAACAAGUGCUAUUCAAAUAGGGUGGCACCUUGACGGUACCUAACCAGAAAGCCACGGCUAACUACGUGCCAGCAGCCGCGGUAAUACGUA